GCUGAUGUGAUGAGCUCAUCUUUAGUCGGAUACCCCUUCACUCCACUCAUGAGUGAAACGCGCUGCCUGACCAGC
This is a small nucleolar RNA of Electrophorus electricus (electric eel), 75 nucleotides long. NCBI's taxonomy places the organism in Eukaryota, Metazoa, Chordata, Actinopteri, Gymnotiformes, Gymnotidae. The record is from Ensembl.